Long non-coding RNA from Lineus longissimus, 166 nucleotides. RefSeq lists it as uncharacterized. The record is from RefSeq and is a predicted model, not a curated record. NCBI's taxonomy places the organism in Eukaryota, Metazoa, Nemertea, Pilidiophora, Heteronemertea, Lineidae. The transcript has 3 exons.
AUCGCGCAAAGCUCAUCACUACUGAUUAUGACAGGCGUGCAACGGCACAGAUCCACAGAGCACUCUUCAAAUCAUCUACACAGUGGUUAUCCAACUAGGAUUAUAAAGGCACACAUUGACAUAGACCACUGUUGCAGUCAACGACACAGUCGCUAUCCAAGUAGCA